This 585-nucleotide ribosomal RNA is filed under the name uncultured bacterium. RNAcentral's name for it is "bacterial SSU rRNA". It matches the Rfam family "Bacterial small subunit ribosomal RNA", at positions 338 to 916 of the family's 1533-position model. The record is from RNAcentral.
CCUACGGGAGGCAGCAGUUGGGAAUUUUGGACAAUGGGGGCAACCCUGAUCCAGCAAUGCCGCGUGUGUGAAGAAGGCCUUCGGGUUGUAAAGCACUUUUGGCGGGAACGAAACGGCGCUUGCUAAUACCAGGCGCCAAUGACGGUACUCGCAGAAUAAGCACCGGCUAACUACGUGCCAGCAGCCGCGGUAAGACGUAGGGUGCAAGCGUUAAUCGGAAUUACUGGGCGUAAAGCGUGCGCAGGCGGUUUUGUAAGACAGGCGUGAAAUCCCCGGGCUCAACCUGGGAACUGCGCUUGUGACUGCAAGACUAGAGUGUGUCAGAGGGAGGUGGAAUUCCGCGUGUAGCAGUGAAGUGCGUAGAGAUGCGGAGGAACACCGAUGGCGAAGGCAGCCUCCUGGGAUAACACUGACGCUCAUGCACGAAAGCGUGGGGAGCAAACAGGAUUAGAUACCCUGGUAGUCCACGCCCUAAACGAUGUCAACUAGUUGUCGGGGAUUCGUUUCCUUGGUAACGCAGCUAACGCGUGAAGUUGACCGCCUGGGGAGUACGGCCGCAAGGUUAAAACUCAAAGGAAUUGACGG